UAGGGGGCCGUUUCCUACAUCCUCCAUUACAAUAAUGGUGCCUAAAGACACCAAGAUGUAAAUUACUUCACAGGCGCUGGGUAAUCUCCAUUCCUUUGAUCUCUGCCUAUCCCGUGGCUCAUUUGGCCUGAGGAGCUGAAGCCAUUCAUAGGGUAACACGUCCCAGGCGGCUGGCCAGCCUUUAUUAGGGAUGGGUUUUCUUAGUUCAGAGUCUCCGCUCUGGUAAGCUUAUGCAUUAAAGCAUGUCUGCAGAAGGAUCCGAGUGUCCUGCGUGUAUUUCUUGCUGGCGAGAAAAUACAGCGCGCGGGACAUAUGGUGCCGAAACCCGGGAAGCUUAACAUCACCGGCACCGCGGAGAACCCUUGGCUACAAGGCGGAUUCAGAACUGCAGGGUGGUAAAUUUGGAGAGGAUGAAGAAAAUCCUCUAUGGAUCCCAGAAAGACUCACCCGAAGAGCCCCUUCGGACCUUCAAAAGUCGGAACUCCACCCUCUCCCCGGGAGUUGAGAGCCGCUAUUGUUAUCCAGAUUAACUCCUGUCCUUGGCGGAGAGAUUGUAUCGCUAAAGGGGUGGGAGUGGGAUUGUUUGAUGCAGCCGUUUGCGGAUUGCUGUUACUUCUGGCCGGUCUGUGAGAAAGGGGUGGGGGUGGAAUUGUUUGAUGCAGCCGUUUGCAGAUUGGUGUUACUCCUCUGGCUGGUCUGUAAGCUCCAGGGCUCAAACCAAGAGAUCGCCCAAGCGCUUCCACUGAUAUUUGGCUGACAAUGCUUAAGCAAUAGGCCGCCGGCCAGACAGCUCUUGCACACCCGGAGCCUAGGCUCAUUGCACAGGGUAGAGUGUCUGGUUUGAGCAGCCCCAAUGAGGGAUGCUGAGCAAAGGCAUCGCACAGAGUUGCCUAAUAUGCAGGCUUCUCUGAGAGGUACGUUGACCUGCAUAAGGGUUACCUGCCCCGAGCUUCCCUUUCCCAGAAAAACGGCAGAGGACAGGUCGAGAGUACUUCGGGUCAAGCUAACAGCCUGAUGGCGACUCUCGUACACAGUCUUAAUGUUUGAUUUGGGAAGGUUCAACCUCUGCCUCUAUCCCUCAACAUAUGGGUGACCUAUUUGCUUGUAAAAAUAUAAAGCCUUUUCAUUAAUUAAUAAAAAAAGGGGGAUAUGUAGGGGGCCGUUUCCUACAUCCUCCAUUACAAUAAUGGUGCCUAAAGACACCAAGAUGUAAAUUACUUCACAGGCGCUGGGUAAUCUCCAUUCCUUUGAUCUCUGCCUAUCCCGUGGCUCAUUUGGCCUGAGGAGCUGAAGCCAUUCAUAGGGUAACACGUCCCAGGCGGCUGGCCAGCCUUUAUUAGGGAUGGGUUUUCUUAGUUCAGAGUCUCCGCUCUGGUAAGCUUAUGCAUUAAAGCAUGUCUGCAG
RNAcentral lists this long non-coding RNA (1404 nucleotides) under Cricetulus griseus (Chinese hamster). Its description in RNAcentral is "lncRNA (ENSCGRG00015030666.1)". Lineage: Eukaryota; Metazoa; Chordata; Mammalia; Rodentia; Cricetidae. The record is from RNAcentral.